GAUUUAUGUAUUUAUUUGAAAGGUAGAGUUACAGAGAUAUAGGGGCAGAGAGAGGUCUUCCAUCUGCUGGUUCACUCCCCAGAUGGCCACAAUGGCCGAAGCUGCACCGAUCUGAAGCCAGGAGCCAGAAGAUUCCUCCAGGUCUCCUGCGUGAGUGCAGGGCCCCAAGGACUUCGGCCAUCUUCCACUGCCCCUCCAGGCCAUAACAGAGGAUCAGAAGUGGAGCAGCUGGGUCUUGAACUGGCGCCCACAUGGGAUGAUGGCACUGCAGGCGGCGGCUUUACACACUAUGCCACCGCACUGGCCCCCAGAAAGUUUCUUUUAAGACAAAGAGAUAUGGAUACUUACAGGGCAUUUUGUCAAGCAUGAAAGUUAUGCUUACAUACUAAUAUAAGGUAAAGUCAAACUUUUUAGAUCAAAAUUGCUCUUGCGCAUCAAAAAGAAAAUCAUAAGUAACUUAGCAGUACAGCAUGGAAAUUUCCACAGCGUUUUGCUGAAACCAGAUUUACCAUUGCUGCUUAUUUGGUAAAUGUUCCUCCAUCCAUGUGUCUACCCAUCCAUUCAUUCAUCCAACCAACCAUCAAAGCAUCAUUCUUAUCAUCGAUAUUCUAUUGGCAGAUCCUCAUCUAGCUCAGUUUGAAAUAGAGUCCUAGGCCUCUCUUUUCUCUGAGACAAUCAUAGCAAAUAAAAUAAUUUCACUCUCCAAUUAUUUUGAAGAUUUAUUUUUAUUUAUUUGAAAGGCAGAGUUACAGAGAGAGAGAGAGAGGGAGAAUUUUCUAUCCAUUGGUUUAUUCUCUAAAUGGUCACAACGGCCAGGGUUGGGCCAAGCUGAAGCCAGGAGCUUGGAACUCUAUCCAGGUCUCCCACGUGGGUGGAAAGGCCCGAGUACUUGGGCCAUCUUCUGCUUCUCCAGGCGAAUUAGCAGGGAGCUGGUUUGGAAGUGGAGUAGCCGGGAUAUGAACUGCACACCCAUAUGGGAUGCUGGUAUAUAGGUGGUGGCUUAGGCCACUGUGCCACAACUCUGACCCCUUAAAUGGAUUUUAUAAACUGUAUUGCAGUGCUGCGUCUGCAAAAUCUUCAUCAAAAUCCUGAGGCUCAAGUAUGGUGUGAGUGCAUUAGAGACUUAAACACAGGAUAAUGUGUCCCCACACACCACUUCAGACCCUGUUCUAGAUUUAUGUAAGCCAAAUGCAGAACUGUCUGUAUCUCUGAACAUCUGGAUUGAAACCAGCGAGUUGCGGGCGGGGAGAAGGAAGGGCUUGCUGUCCACCUGGGUUCAGGUAAUGAUAAGCUGUGUUAGGUUUCUGUGGCUGCUGUAACCAAUUGCUACAACCUGAUAGCAUAAAAUCAAUUUAUUCUUUCACAAUUUUGGAGGCCAGAAGUUCAAAAUCAAGAUGUUGUCAGGAGUGCAUUCGGGCUGGUGCUGUGGCAUAGCAGAUAAAGCCACCUCCUGCAGAGUGCCUGGUUCCACAGCUGGCUCCACUUCUGAUCUAGUUCCCUGCUAGUACACCUGGGAAAGCAGCAAAGAUGACCCAAAUACUUGGGCAACCAUUUGGGAAGUGAAUCAGUGGGUGGAAGACCUCUCUCUCUCUCUCUCUCUCUCGCUCUCUCUAACUCUGCCUUUCAAAUAAAAUAAAUGCAUUUUUUUUUCUAUUUGCUUUCUGAGCAUUUAGUUUGUGCACUGAUUCUAAAUUAUAUUUUCUUUCAUUUAACUUUCUCUACAUUAUUUUCCAUCACUCUUGUUUUUGUUAACAUUUUGCUAGCAAAGCUCUCUUGCUCUUUUACUUAAUUCUAAAAAAAGAUUUAUUUACUUAUUGAAAGGUAGAACUACAGUAAGAGAGAGAGGGAUGGGGGGAGAGAGUGAGAGAUUUUCCAUCCACUGGUUCACUUCCCAAAUGGUCACAAUGGUCAGGGCUGAGCCGAAGGAAGCCGGGAGCCAGGAGCUUCUUCCAGGACUCCCACGUGGGUGCAGGGGCCCAAGUACUUGGGCCAUCCUCUGCUGAUUUCCCAGGUGCAUUAGCAGGGAACUGGAUCAGAAGUGGACCAGCUGGGACUCCAACUGGUGCCCAUAUGGGAUGCUUGUACUGAAGGCAGUAGCUUUACCCUCUAUGCCAUAGCACCAGCCCUCAAAAUAAAUAAAUCUUAAAAAAAAAAAAAACUGUAUUCCCUCUGGAGGCUCUAGAAGAGAAUCUGUUCUGUUUUCCAGUUUCUGAUGUCCAUCAGCAUUCCUUGACGUGGGAAAACAACACUCCAAACCCUGCCUCUUCGGACAUCCUCAACCUCCUCUUCUGUCCAUCAAAUCUCCCUCUGUCUCACUCAUAUAAAGACACUUGUCAUUGCAUUCAAGGCCCAUCCAGCAAGUUCCUACUCUCAAAAUCCUUAACCACAUAUUUUUAUAUAAGAGAAUCCACCCAUGACUAGAGGUAUCUAAUCCAUUUGUAAGAAUAUUACGAGCAUCAAGGAGUAAAGAAGAGAUGCAGGCAGAUGACUGUCCACUUGCUACGAAUCCAGCAUACACUAAGUGCUUGGGGCCCUGCGCCCAUGUGGGAGACCUGGAAGAAGCUCCUGGCUCCUGGCUUCGGAUUGGCACAGCUCUGGCCGUUGUGGCCAAUUGGGGAGUGAACCAGCGGAUGGAAGACCUCUCUCUCUCUCUCUGCCUCUCCUUCUCUCUCUG
Oryctolagus cuniculus (rabbit) is the source of this 2674-nucleotide non-coding RNA. NCBI's taxonomy places the organism in Eukaryota, Metazoa, Chordata, Mammalia, Lagomorpha, Leporidae. The record is from RefSeq and is a predicted model, not a curated record.